GCUGAGAUACUUUACACAUCGUUCUAGGAAACAUCAUGCAUGAUGUGAAUGUGUCAGGAUUUCCUACAACGAACACAAGGCAAUCAGCAGAAAAGCUGGAAUAUCUACAAAACAAGAUUGAAGCAAUAUGCUGAUGAAGAGGAAAUUUCCUGUGAUGCCUCUAAACUCUGAGUCGGUGUCAUUGGAGACAGCCUUGUAACAAACAACUUGGAUCUCCAGUAAAAUCACGACUUUUAGAGAUUUUUUUAAAACAAGCUGAAACAAGUAGUGAAUAUCUUAUAUGCAAUUGAGCCGAAGCUGUCGGAGCAGGUUAGGCUGUCUGACCAGUGCUGGUGGGAACUCCAGGAGCUGUAAGCAGGUGGAUGAAAAGCAGGCCUGGAGCAGGAAGAUUUAUCAGUGUCCCUAUUUGCCACCUCACUUAACUCAAAAUUACCUGAGGAUUGUGACAAUAGUUACAAAAGGAUAG
Molecule: long non-coding RNA, 466 nt
Filed under: Anser cygnoides (Swan goose)
Lineage: Eukaryota; Metazoa; Chordata; Aves; Anseriformes; Anatidae
Description: lncRNA (ENSACDG00005001024.1)
Source: RNAcentral